RNAcentral lists this ribosomal RNA (305 nucleotides) under uncultured bacterium. RNAcentral describes it as "bacterial SSU rRNA". It matches the Rfam family "Bacterial small subunit ribosomal RNA", at positions 334 to 657 of the family's 1533-position model. The record is from RNAcentral.
CUAUCCUACGGGACGCAGCAGUGGGGAAUAUUGCACAAUGGGGGAAACCCUGAUGCAGCGACGCCGCGUGAGUGAAGAAGUAAUUCGUUAUGUAAAGCUCUAUCAGCAGGGAAGAAAAUGACGGUACCUGAGUAAGAAGCCCCGGCUAACUACGUGCCAGCAGCCGCGGUAAUACGUAGGGAGCGAGCGUUGUCCGGAAUUACUGGGUGUAAAGGGAGCGUAGGCGGGGAUGCAAGUUGGGUGUCAAAACUACCGGCUCAACUGGUAGUCGCACUCAAAACUGCAGCUCUUGAGUGAAGUAGAGG